This 1347-nucleotide long non-coding RNA is filed under the name Salmo salar (Atlantic salmon). RNAcentral's name for it is "lncRNA (ENSSSAG00000115888.1)". The record is from RNAcentral. Lineage: Eukaryota; Metazoa; Chordata; Actinopteri; Salmoniformes; Salmonidae.
CCCAUAACAACAAGCGAACCACAUCAGACCCUGUCGGUCUACGCCGGAUUAUGGAGGAGAGGAAAGAGGAGAGGAAAGAGAGGAAGGAGAGAGAGGAGAGGAAAAGAAGGGAGAAGGAGAACAAGAGAAAAAUAUGAAAUACGGAACUAUGUCUCCACUGAGAAAAAACAGAGAGAAGGAGAGAAUUGAGGAGAAGGUGGGAGGAGUUGGGGACCAGAGAAAGAAAGACACUGGGGGAGAGGCGAAGUCCGAGAAACAACGAGGUGCAGAGAACAGAGGACUGCAGGAAGACGACAGAGAAAGAGAGGACGAGAGCGCAAAGAAGGAAAGAGAAGGAGAGGAGAGGAAAGGAGAUGAGGAGAGAGGUGGAUGGGAGAGGAAAGGAGAGGAGGAGAGAGGUGGAGGGGAGAGGAAAGGAGAGGAGGAGAGAGGUGGAGGGGAGAGGAAAGGAGAGGAGGAGAGAGGAGGAGGGGAGAGGAAAGGAGAGGAGGAGAGAGGUGGAGGGGAGAGGAAAGCAGAGCAGGAGAGAGGAGGAGGGGAGGUUCGGGGAGCUACGACAGAAGAGCACCCGUCCGUAUCAGAGGAGGCGUCAGACUCGUGUCGUACUGACUCUCGUUUCAUGACCAGCAUCUCCAGUGACUCCCUGGAUGCUCUGGAGGAAGAUGACCUGAUCGCCUGCUCUUCCUCCCUCCCUCACCCUCACCCUCCCUUCCGCCUCACAGUGGAGCCCCCCCAUCCCCAGCCUCACCCACGAGGGGGUGCAUCCUCACCCCAAGGAGGGGCAGGAGAGUGGAGAGGAGAAGGAGGUGGAGAGGUGUCAGGAGAGUGGAGAGGAGGGGUAGGAGGAGAGUGGAGAGGAGGAGAGUGGAGAGGAGGAGGAGGGGGAGGAGAGUGCAGAGGAGGGGGAAGAGGGAGGGGAUCGGGCAACGGAGCUUGGGUCAACACUCACCAUUCUCCCAUGACCCCUGACUCCAUGAACUCUGAACCUGUGACCCCCGUGGUUGACCCCUCUGAGAACCUGAACUAUGCUGAGCUCUCUCUCAUGCUGGAGUACCUCCCCAGUCCUCCGGAGGCGAGUGACGAUGAGGACGAGGAGGAGAAGAGGGAAGAGAUGAGGAGGAGUAAUGAAGGAACUGGACAGGAGGAAUUUUCCUUAUCCGGACGUCCCCGUUCCUCCUCCUCCUCACUUAUGGACUGUGUGUUUACAUUCGAGCAGAGAGACGCAAGGCAUUACUACAAUAUCUGCCCUAAUGUUACCCCUGACAGCACCCGCACCCGCAGCCUCACCCACCCUCACCCUGAGACUGAGGAAGAGGAGGGUGGUGGUGAGGAGGAAGAGCAGGGGGC